UGGCUGGACGAGCUGCGGGCCGCCGAGCAGACCGCUCUGGAGAAGCGGCUGCCGAGCCUGAGGUCCAACGCCUCGCCCAUCCACCC
Molecule: transfer RNA, 86 nt
Filed under: Streptomyces violaceus subsp. violarus
Lineage: Bacteria; Bacillati; Actinomycetota; Actinomycetes; Kitasatosporales; Streptomycetaceae
Description: tRNA-Ser
Source: RNAcentral